UUGCGGUUAAAAAGCUCGUAGUUGGAUUUCUGUCGGUGAGUCACAGUCCGCCCGCAGCGGUUGGUACUUGCGACGCCACCGGCAUCUUCCUGGGGACUGUGUCUGCUCUUAAUUGGGUGGCGCAUAAUCCAGGACUUUUACUUUGAAGAAAUGAGAGUGUUUCAAGCAGGCAUGCGCCGUGAAUACGUUAGCAUGGAAUAAUAAGAUAGGACCUCGGUUCUAUUUUUUCGGUUUCUAGAGCUGAGGUAAUGAUUAACAGGGAUAGUUGGGGGCAUUCGUAUUUAACUGUCAGAGGUGAAAUUCUUGGAUUUGUUGAAGACGGACUACUGCGAAAGCAUCUGCCAAGGAUGUUUUCAUUGAUCAAGAACGAAAGUUAGGGGAUCGAAGACGAUCAGAUACCGUCCUAGUCUUAACCAUAAACCAUGCCGACUAGAGAUUGGAGGCCGUUUUUUAUACGACACCUUCAGCACCUUACGAGAAAUCAAAGUCUUUGGGUUCCGGGGGGAGUAUGGUCGCAAGGCUGAAACUUAAAGGAAUUGACGGAAGGGCACCACCAAGAGUGGAGCCUGCGGCUUAAUUUGACUCAACACGG
Molecule: ribosomal RNA, 592 nt
Filed under: uncultured marine eukaryote
Lineage: Eukaryota
Description: bacterial SSU rRNA
Rfam family: Eukaryotic small subunit ribosomal RNA
Source: RNAcentral